AAUAAAGUGCCUGAUUAAAGGAUUAAAUUGUAAAUUUAAGCAUGUGACCAGCGACUUCACCUUUAUUA
Molecule: transfer RNA, 68 nt
Filed under: Bemisia afer
Lineage: Eukaryota; Metazoa; Arthropoda; Insecta; Hemiptera; Aleyrodidae
Description: tRNA-Tyr
Source: RNAcentral